GAAAUGCGAUAAGUAAUGUGAAUUGCAGAAUUCAGUGAAUCAUCGAAUCUUUGAACGCACAUUGCGCCCGCCAGCACUCUGGCGGGCAUGCCUGUCCGAGCGUCAUUUCAACCCUCAGGACCCCUUCGGGGGUGCCUGGCGUUGGGGAUCGGCCCGCCUCCGCGCGGGCCGGCCCCGAAUCCCAGUGGCGGCCCCACCGCGAGCUCCCCUGCGCAGUAGCGAUACCUCGCAGCCGGACGAGCGUGGCGGCCACGCCGUAAAACACCCCACUUCUUCAAGGUUGACCUCGGAUCAGGUAGGAAUACCCGCUGAACUUAA
RNAcentral lists this unclassified non-coding RNA (318 nucleotides) under uncultured Hypocreales. Its description in RNAcentral is "sequence contains ITS1". The stretch from base 1 to 105 matches the Rfam family "5.8S ribosomal RNA", at positions 50 to 154 of the family's 154-position model. Lineage: Eukaryota; Fungi; Ascomycota; Sordariomycetes; Hypocreales. The record is from RNAcentral.